AUCCAGGUGUGUACCGAGCAGUGAGCGAGUCCAGCUGGUCGAGGCUGCAAGCGAUGGAUUCAAAAGCUUGAAAAUUAUGCUGAGGAUACAAAGAAAUAGGAUCGCCGGAUGUCAUCCAACUUGAGCUGGCGAAUUUUGGAGAUGUCAAUGCUGGCGGAGAAAUCAAUAGUGGAAAGCUGCAAGACAUGUCUUGAGAUAAGCCUUCAGCGAGCAUUGCUUCCUGUUCAAUGUUGAUCCACACAAACAUCAACCAGGAUAACACUGGCGGGAAAAAAGCCUCUGACCUGGUACCACCAUGUUUGCCAUCUUACCCCGUGCUAAGCAGCAAGUAGGUGGCUGUGAGAGAGAGGAAUAUGCUGAGAAGCCGGUGAAAGAGGCGAGUGGAGCUCAUCAGUGGAACAAGUAUGGAAGAUGCUAAAGAAG
Molecule: non-coding RNA, 423 nt
Organism: Nerophis lumbriciformis (worm pipefish)
Lineage: Eukaryota; Metazoa; Chordata; Actinopteri; Syngnathiformes; Syngnathidae
Source: RefSeq, a predicted model, not a curated record